UCUGCUUCUUCCACAAAUUGUAUCAUUGUUGUGGUCUCGUUCUUUGCUGUCAUGCGUGCUCUGUGUAAAUGGUUUUUUUUGCUCGCUGGCAAUGGGGGUUUUGUUGGGCAAAUCGCGUGUUAAUACUUGCGGCUUCNGACAACCACCGUUCAUCNGAAUCGGAGGCAACUCCGUUAGCUGAUGAUGAUGGGGUGGGGCAAACGGAGUGAAGCAUCUCCAGCUCGUUGAGUCAGGCGCGAUUGGUGGUGAAGUAAGGGUUCUCUUCAUUUUUGGCUCGCAGCGACUCCGAUAACCUAUGGCAAGAUGCAACCGACGUCUAUCUUCUUCCUCGACACCGGUGAAGACGAUGACUCCGGCGAGGCUCGCGGUGGACAGUUCUGGUGGAAGUGACGGGAACGGUGAGGUCUCAAAGUUGAGCUUCCGUUAGCACGAAGGGAAGAGAGGAAAUGGCUGGCCACGAUUCCGGUGGAGUCGGCCGUCGCAGGUGAUGGUUGCGGUGGUGUCUGGUCGGAAGAACUUGGUGGCAGAUGGUGUUCNGAGGCAUGCGUGAGAGAGAGGCGUGAAGCCUCUGGAGCGGUGGAAUGCAGAAUGAGAGGAUNGGUUUCGAACCCCUUUAGAAUUCUAGGUUAAGUUGGAGUCUUGGGCUUGGGUGUCUNGGCUCGCAGCUUUUUUUUUUCUUCCGCACCCCCUUUUGCUACCAUUCGUAGUCUCUUUCUGCUUGGGCUCAAAACUUAGCCUGUCAGCCCCAAAAAACGUUUUUUUUGCACCUUUAUUUUUGUUAAGUUGCACCUCUUUCGGAUUGGGCUUAGGCCCAGUUUGCGUUUGGAAGCCAUUUAAGUUAGGCACCCCUUUUUCUUAUUUAGGCACCCCUACCCCUUAUAUUGUUUUAUUAUUUUUAUUUUAUUUUUGUAUUUAACUUUUAAUGUAUUUAUUUUUUACUUUUUAUUUUAUUUAGUUAUUUACUUAUUUGUUUUUUUCCCUUUUCUUUUAAAAAAUUCAAAAUCAAUAAAAAUAUUUUUGAAAAGGUUUAAGCACACGUGCGACCGCUCGCGUAGGCCUUGUGCUGAAAACCUUUUCCCUUUUCUUUUAAAAAUUAAAAAUUAAAUAAAAAUAUUUUGAAAGGGUUCAAGCACACGUGCGACCGCUC
This 1147-nucleotide long non-coding RNA is filed under the name Vigna radiata. RNAcentral's name for it is "long non-coding RNA (VRAD_LNC008119)". Lineage: Eukaryota; Viridiplantae; Streptophyta; Magnoliopsida; Fabales; Fabaceae. The record is from RNAcentral.